CCUACGGGAGGCAGCAGUGAGGAAUAUUGGUCAAUGGACGAGAGUCUGAACCAGCCAAGUAGCGUGAGGGAUGAAUGACCUCUGGGUUGUAAACUUCUUUUAUAUGGGAAUAAAAUGUUCCACGUGUGGGAUUUUGUAUGUACAAUAUGAAUAAGGAUGGGCUAACUCUGUGCCAGCAGCAGCGGUAAUACGGAGGAUCCGGGCGUUAUCCGGAUGUAGUGGGUGUAAAGGGAGCGGAGGUGGAUUGUUAAGUCGGUUGUGAAAGUUUGCGGCUCAACCGUAAAAUUGCAGUUGAGACUGGCAGACUUGAGUACAGGAGAGGUAGGCGGAAUUCGUGGUGUAGCGGUGAAAUGCUUAGAUAUCACGAAGAACUCCGAUUGCGAAGGCAGUUCACUGGACUGCAACUGACACUGAGGCUCGAAAGUGUGGGUAUCAAACAGGAUUAGAUACCCGAGUAGUC
RNAcentral lists this ribosomal RNA (460 nucleotides) under uncultured bacterium. Its description in RNAcentral is "partial 16S ribosomal RNA". It matches the Rfam family "Bacterial small subunit ribosomal RNA", at positions 338 to 795 of the family's 1533-position model. The record is from RNAcentral.